CCUCUCCAUCUCCACCCAGCUGGGUCCAGGGGCCACUCUCAGCACCCACCUCAGCAGCUGACAUCAUAAAGCUGACUUGGGAACCUGGAAGCACUUUGGAGAACCUUUUCCUGAGACAUGGAGCUUUGGGGCCGAAUGCUGUGGGCCCUCCUGUCUGGCCCAGGGAGGCGGGGAAGUACCCGGGGCUGGGCCUUCAGCUCAUGGCAACCCCAACCACCUCUGGCUGGGUUAUCCAGUGCCACAGAACUGGUCAGCCACUGGACUCGGGUCUUUGAGAAGAGGGGUAUCCCUGAGGCCCGGGAAUCCAGUGAGUACAUCGUGGCUCAUGUCCUUGGAGCCAAAACAUUUCAGAGCCUGAGGCCGGCACUUUGGACCCAGCCCUUGACCUCUCAGCAACUACAGUGUAUCCAGGAGCUGAGUAGCCGUCGAUUGCAGAGGAUGCCGGUGCAGUACAUCCUUGGAGAGUGGGACUUUCAGGGGCUCAGCCUGAGGAUGGUGCCCCCAGUGUUUAUUCCUCGGCCAGAAACAGAGGAACUGGUUGAGUGGGUGCUGGAAGAGGUGGCCCAGAGGUCCCAUGCUGUGGGAUCCCCAGGCAGCCCCCUCAUUCUGGAGGUGGGCUGUGGAUCGGGAGCCAUCUCCCUCAGCCUGCUGAGCCAGCUCCCCCAGAGCCGAGUCAUUGCUGUGGAUAAGGGGGAAGCUGCUAUCUCUCUGACCCAUGAGAAUGCUCAGAGGCUUCGGUUGCAGGACAGGAUUUGGAUCAUCCACCUCGACAUGACCUCAGAAAGGAGCUGGACAUACCUGCCCUGGGGCCCCGUGGACCUGGUCGUCAGCAACCCUCCCUACAUCUUCCACCAGGACAUGGAGCAGCUGGCCCCCGAGAUCCGCAGCUAUGAAGACCCCGCGGCCCUGGAUGGUGGGGAGGAGGGCAUGGACAUCAUUACCCACAUUCUGGCCCUGGCACCCCGGCUCCUGAAGGACUCUGGUAGUAUCUUCUUAGAAGUGGACCCAAGGCACCCGGAGCUUGUUAGCAGCUGGCUUCAGAGCCGGCCUGACCUGUACCUUAAUCUUGUGGCUGUGCGCAGGGACUUCUGUGGGAGGCCCCGGUUCCUGCAUAUCCGGAGGUCUGGGCCAUAGCGUGGCUGCCCUGUGGAUGCCUUGUCAGUGCCGCCAGCCUGACCAGAGGGAGGUGGAUGGCACUUUCCAGAGCCCAGGCAGGGAGAACAAGAGAAGGUAUGGACUGCCUGAGGUCCCAUGACAGUGGCCAAGUGGAGACAGUAAGUUAGAUCCCUCCCUUUGGGGAGCCUAUAUUGCUGGAGUCAUACCCAGCCUAAGUGUUGCCCUGCACUAUGGCUGGAGGACACAUUUGGUAGAGGUCACACUGCAGCUCCCAGCGCCCCAGUGUCCUGCCCCGUGCCCAGCCCCAACUGUAUGGACCCUGAGCUGCCCCUGGCUUCCUUUGAGGAGGCUGCUCCAGAAGGAACCUGGGUGGGGAGGGCGAAGGGGGUGCACAACCAGGGCAAGGCUCCCCACUUCCUUAGUCCCCUGUGCUCACAGACAUUUGCCUGCUAAGGUCCUCACCAGUAUUGCCCUUUCUGUCUUCCUCCCUGUGCCCUUUGGCUCUUGCUGUCUUCAGCAGCAUCUCAGGGCAGCUGCCCUGACCUCGGAGCAGUCUGUCACCACCCACACCUCAGCCAGUCCUGGCUUCCCUGAUGGUCUCACCCUCCUGGCCUCAGGCCCAUUCCUGAGGAAGGGCCUUGGUGAGCUUGUGGAUGUUGCACCAGAAGAGAGUGCAGUGUUGGAGAGUGACAGUGUUGGGGCAGCUGGGGCCACAAGCAGGAGCCGGCCUUGGGCACAACUUCCUGCCCGGAAAAAUGUGCAGCUUGACUCUGCUGAGGAAAAGGUCCAAGCCAAGAGGACUGGCAGGCGGGGCCUCAAGCCUGCAGCUACCGGCUUGAUUGGGCCCUGGACGUUGAGCCCAGAUGCAUGUGAGGAGCCCGUGGAAUGUGCUUGGCUUGGCACACUGUGGCAUUUUUCCUUGCCUUCCUCAGAGGGCAGACACAGGGAGGAAGGACCCAGUGCCCUCAGGCGUCCAUCUGAUGCUUGGGACCAACAUAAGGCAGGCAGGGGUACAAGACAAUCUGGAAAGAAGGGAAGGCAGGAGUUUCAGUCUUGGGCUCUUGACUCCUCACUGUUGUCUAGAGAUGGAGCCAGCAGGCUUGUAGCCUGGCAGCCCACAUCUCCCCUCAGCCCCUCCUUACUAUGGCCCCAGUGUCUUGAGUCCCAGGCCAGGGCAGCCAGUGGCUCCAGCUCAGGGAAAGCCAGGCUCACUUGCCCUAUUCCCUCCCUUGCUCCUGAGGCCAAAGCCAGAGACUCGAACUGCCUCCCCACCACCACCAGCAUAAGUCAAGGAGCACUUGCAGGCAGAAUGGGAGGAGGACAUGGAGCUGAUGGAGUCCAGGCUGUGCAAGCCCCUGAGGUCUUGAGAGAUGUGCCCACUGCCCAUGCAGCCUCCUUCAGCCAGAGCCCAGAGCAUAGACAGGAGUGUAGGAGUCCCUGUUUGAUGUACUCUGGGAGAGUAAUUCUAACUCCUCUUCUGAUAGUUGGGGAAACUGAGGCCUUGUCUCACAAUUGGAUGCUUUUCCCAGUUGUCAGUGGGUUUCUCCAUGUGUCUCAUACAGCUGCCUUAUUGAAAUAUGCUCCCAACCCACUAAAUGCAAGAAAUACACUCUUUUUUGCUCCUUUACCCCCACCUGGACCCUGGGCCAUUGGCUGCUCCCAAUCCCUGCCCCAAACACUUAGCUGGCUCCCCAUGACCUAAGUGUGUUCUCUUGUGUCCUAUGGAAUCCAGUUCUGAAGAGGUGGGGGAGGACAACUGUGGGAAAAGCCCUGGGGGCCCCUCCCAAGGCCCCAUCAGUUCUCUGAGUAGGCUGCCAUCAGAACAAAGGGCUCCACUGCUGACAAGGUUUGAGAACUGCUGGCUUGAGGUGAGAACCCCUUUAACCUCUGUGGGGCAGCAUGUCUUUCCCUAUCCACCUUUGAUUCUUUUCUCUCUUUUUUUCUUCAUCGGCUCCUUCUUAAUGGAUUCUCUUCUCUACUGCCCUGGGCUUCAGCCUUUUUGCAGCACUCUCGAUGCCCUGAACACACACCUUCCCUUUGUCCAGGCAGUGCAAACAAUCCACUUCUUCAAGCUCCAACACAAAUGCUGCCUCCUUUAGGAUGCCUGCUCUGUGCUCUCCCUGCCUCUCCUAGCCCAUACCUCUGCUGGCACCUUCUGUACCAUGCCUUCAGAAACCUUCUUAUCCCCCUCAUCUCUGGGGUCCCCUGUGGAUCUGGCAUACCCAAGUUCAGUAAAUGUCUACCAGUAAGCUGAUGGUACAUGCAUUUUCUAGAAUAGAGCUGGGACUUUCCAUGUGGCCCACAUCUGACCUGGCGGCCCAUGUAUUCCGGUUAUUAGGGAUGGGAAGCCAUGAGGACCUGGCCUUCGGCCCAACCCAGGCAGCCAUUCAAGUUGAGCGAUGGCCACUUUGAAGACUCAAGUGCACCUGAUCUCUGCGCGACAGCCACGCCAGGAGAACAGGCUGUCCUUGGCGGCAGUAGGAGCAGGCGCCAGGUUUCCUGGAGCUCUUGGCUUCAGCCAGCCCCCAGCCAGAGUCCUUGCUAGGACAGUGACCUGAUCUCCUCUUCAUGACCUUCUGCCCUGGACAAGCCCCCUGAACUGGAUUUGGGACUGUCAAAGCAACUCUACCCCUGCUCUGGUAGGCUGAACAGUGACCCCCCCCAAAAUGGCAGUAUCUUAAUUACCUAAACCUUAAUAUGUGACUAUAUUACCUUCACAUAGCAAAAUGGACUUUGCAGAUGUGAUUAAGGAUCUUGGAAAGAGUAUCCUGGAUUUUUCAGGUAAACUGAGUAUAAUCACAAGGCCCUCUGUAAAGGAGGCAGGAGUGUCAGAGUGACGGAAGAAAAUGUAUGUAACAAUGGAAGCAGAGGUCAGAGUGAUGCAAUUGCUGGAGGAAGAGCCAUGAGCCAAGGAAUGCAGACAGCCUCUUCUCCUCUGGGGCCUCAAGAAGAAUGCAGUCCUGCCAAUACCUUGAUUUUAAGCCCUGUGAAACUGAUUUCAGAUUGCUGACCUCCAGAAUAGUGAUGUGGCCAGGAGAACUCUUCCUCAACCUUCAGACCUAAACUGCCCAGGCCCCCCUUUUUUUACUCAUAUUUGGAGAGAGGUGGCCCUUUCCCAGAGUGAGAAGACUGGAAGACUGACCAGCAUGGGUUCCAGAAGGGAGUGGGAACAGGCCUGCCUACCUGGAGAGGCGGCCAAGUCCCUCUGCUGUUCCUGGAAGUCAGUGUGAGGCUGAGCUACGUGACCAAGCAAAGCAAACUAGGACUACAGGUGCGAACAACCCUGCCUGGCUAAUUUUUAAUUUUUUUUUUUUUUAUGGAAACGGGGUCUCGCUAUGUUGCCAGGGCUGGCACAUGGGUUUUUUUUUUGUUUUUUUUUUUGAGACAGUCUCGCUGUCACCCAGGCUGGAGUGCAGUGGCGCGAUCUCGGCUCACUGCAGGCUCCGCCCCCCCCCCCCCCCCGGGUUCACGCCAUUCUCCUGCCUCAGCCUCCCGAGUAGCUGGGACUACAGGCGCCCGCCACCUCGCCCAGCUAAUUUUUUUUUUUUGUAUUUUUAGUAGAGACAGGGUUUCACUGUGUUAGCCAGGAUGGUCUCGAUCUCCUGACCUUGUGAUCCACCCGCCUUGGCCUCCCAACACAUGGGGUUUUUAAUUGUCCCCACAUUAUAAAGUUGAGGACACCAAGGCUCAGCAGGGUGCAGUUACAGGUCAGGUUGCAUAGCUGGACUGGAAGGGAGGAUGAAGCUGCCAUUGGUGCCCAUUUGAAUAUCACAGACGCUGAGGCCAGCAUAACUAGGUCCUGGGCUGUCCCCUACAGAGCUUAGCACAGAAGUUACCUGGGCUCGUGGACCCUUGGAGCAGAAGCAGGGGUUUCCAGGGCUGUCCCUAGAGGGCUUUCUAGAAGACCUGCAGCUGCCCCUGGGUGCAUCUCCUGAGGUAUAGGGCCAGGGCCUCUGUCUCUCAAGACCUACUUUGUGUCAGGCACCAGGGAGAUGAUACCAAGUGGAGGGUCCUAUAGAAUAUGGUGCAUCCUGUGCCAAGUACUUCCAGGAUUAUCUUACUCAACCUUCAUGACAUCCUCAGAGAUGGAGGCUGUGAACCCUCUCGUUAUACUGACAAGGAAACAAACAGGGGCUAAGAAACUUGCUCAUGUGCUGGCUGAGCUGUGAUUCUGGCACAGGCUGAGUGACCUGGAGCUGGAGGCCUUAGUCGUCACACCAGACUUGAGGAGGGGCGGAUAGGACAGGAAUAUACCAGGCAGUAGGGACAGUCUGGACAAAAGCCUGGAGUUCUGCAGACGUGCGGGUAGGGAUGUGUAGGGGUGAGGUGGUGCUGGGGGGUGCCCUUGGCUGAGCUCUGAAUGCAUUUCUGGGGACCAGGGGCCUAAAGAGCUUUUUGAGCUGAGUUAGGGUUAGAGAGGCAUUGAGGCUGCUCUUUCUGGCUGCCAGGAAAAAGGGGCUGGGGCAGGAGGCUGCAACUGUCCAGGGUCUGGAGGCGGCUGGGGUCUGUAGCAGUGGCAUCAGAUAUUCUGGAACAGAACUGACUCACAACAAUUGCUGAGGGUUUAGGUGUGGGAUGGCCAGGACCACAAUGGGCCCAGGGCUCUGAUUGGGACCUGGGGGAAAUGGGGCCACGCUGAGUUGGAGACUGGGGUGCUGGGGGGGACAGUCGGGGAGCUUGACAGUGUAGGAUGCCUUCAGAAUAUCUGAGAGGCAGCAUCGGGACAUCUGGAGAUGCAAAUGUGACCAUGUGGGGACACAGUCCAAAGGCAACCCUUGAGGUAGAGUUGGGAAGACCACUCUCCUAGACCUGAGUGCUGGCAACAACAGUACCGGGCAUCUGCAGUGUGUAAACUAGUGCCAGGUGCUGCACACACUUUGUCAUAAAUCCAUCUGUUGGCACAUCAGGGAUCCCUUCCUUGGCCCACUGUACGGAUGAAGGGACUGUGGCUUAACCAGCAACUGACCAUGCUGGAGUUUGAACCUAGUCUUCUGACAUCCCAGCCAGGAGAGGCAUGAGCAGGCUGCAGAGGUCAAAUGCAGCCCAGGGCCUCAACCCCCCAGAGGGGCCUCAGAAGCCGGUGAGGUGCCCCACAGCCAACGUGGGCUUCAGGGUGAAGGGGAAAGUGAUGAAUCAAACAGAAAGCAGCAGACGCAGACUGAGCUCUCUCCCUGUCAGCCCGGGCGCCAGAUUUUCACGCCCACAGCAAAGGGGCCAGGCAGAGUGCUAGAUGUGGGGCGGGAGAGGGCAGCGAAAGCGGCUGCCAGUGAACCCAGACUCUGAUGUACUCCGGAUAUGGGUGGCGUGGACCGACCGACACCCAGCCCAAUUCCAGACUGAAAGUUGAGUCCGUCUCAGCAUGAAGUUUGCCUUGUCACGGGGAGCAUUUCAGGUCCCUAGGCCUGUGAGGUUCUGGGAUGAGGCACCAGAUGGAUGUGUCUAAAAACCCUUGUUGAAGGCACUCCACAGCUCAAGAACUGACCAUUGCUCACUACUCUCUUGGCCCGCACUGAAAGCCACUGUUUCUUCAUCAUUUCACUCAGCCCGCCUGUCUCAGCCCCCCAGAACUUUGGAGCUCAUUCUUUCAAAGUACAUUUCAUGUGCAACUGAAAUAC
Symphalangus syndactylus (siamang) is the source of this 6731-nucleotide RNA transcript. It is a transcript of the gene named HemK methyltransferase 1, mitochondrial release factors N(5)-glutamine, with no coding region annotated. The record is from RefSeq and is a predicted model, not a curated record. Lineage: Eukaryota; Metazoa; Chordata; Mammalia; Primates; Hylobatidae.